GCCUACGGGGCGCAGCAGUGGGGAAUAUUGGGCAUGGACGCAAGCCUGACCCAGCAACGCCGCGCGAAGGAAGAAGGCUUUCGGGUUGUAAACUUCUUUUGUCAGGGACGAAGCAAGUGACGGUACCUGACGAAUAAGCCAUGGCUAACUACGUGCCAGCAGCCGCGGUAAUACGUAGGUGGCAAGCGUUAUCCGGAUUUAUUGGGUGUAUAGGGCGUGUAGGCGGGAAUGAAAGUCAGAUGUGAAAACU
Molecule: ribosomal RNA, 250 nt
Filed under: uncultured bacterium
Lineage: Bacteria
Description: partial 16S ribosomal RNA
Rfam family: Bacterial small subunit ribosomal RNA
Source: RNAcentral